RNAcentral lists this long non-coding RNA (1023 nucleotides) under Manihot esculenta (cassava). Its description in RNAcentral is "long non-coding RNA (MESC_LNC000521)". Lineage: Eukaryota; Viridiplantae; Streptophyta; Magnoliopsida; Malpighiales; Euphorbiaceae. The record is from RNAcentral.
GAAAAUACUUUUAUCUUUAAAUAAUGCAUACUCUGCUUCCACGUAACUUGAACUGAAGUUAGGCUGGCUGAAAAGAGGAUAAGCAUUCGAACAGAGUUGUUCUAGAUUUUGAGCUCACGGAUAGAGCAAGAAUGAUUGCAUCACUGCUGAGCUAUUUCAUUUUGGCUGCUUCUGCAGAAUGGACAUAUACAGAUUUAAAAUCUCUUCUACUGAAUGAUUGAAGGUCAUGGAGAUUUCAAUCAUAAAACACUUUGAUAAGACUCACCAUAACAUUUCUGGAAUGAAAUUGUCUGCAAAUUCCAUCCACAUAAUCUGUUUCUGCCUGUGACCACGUAGACCUCUCUGUGCAUCCACAUAAUAUUCUAUCACUAAAGUUGUGAACCACGCCAAACAAAAAUUGGCUCGUCUUGGGCUCCUAAAACAUCAGCAAGGCCUAGUUAUCCAGCAAUUUUAAAUACGAUUACGUUUGUAUCAUAAUGAUCAUUACCCAUUUCACAUGAUUUCAUAGAAUAGAUGGAGCUCUAUUAUAUAAUUUUUAUUCACUUUCUCCAUUAUAUAAUUAUUAUAUAAUUUUAAUUUUUAUUCACUUUACUUAUAUAUAUAUACUAAAAAAUUUAAUUUUUUAAUUAUAUUAUUUUAAAUAUAUUAAAUUUUAUUAAAUAUUAAAAAAUAUUUUUAAAAAAAUUCUUAAAAAUAAAAUAAAAUAAAAUAAUAAUUUAGAGACAAUAAUAAAAAAUAAAUAAAUAAAAAUUAUAGAAAGGCGGAAUAAUAAAUAAUUAAUCAAUAUGUAUCCUAUUAAUACAAUAUAAAUAGAAGAUGAGGAAACAAAAUAACCCAUCUCUCCCAGCUGGCUCUUCUUUUUUCUCUCUUCUUUUUAUCAUUCUUCCAUUGCCAUGCCUUCCCAAACCCAACAGCUUCACUUUGUGUUGUUUCCUCUUAUGGCCCAAGGCCAUAUGAUUCCCAUGAUAGACAUCGCAAGACUAUUAGCACAGCAUGGCGUGAUGAUCAGUAUAGUCACCACAC